UACGUAGGGGCCGAGCGUUGUCCGGAGUUACUGGGCGUAAAGCGCGCGCAGGCGGCUCGUCAAGCCUGACGUGAAAGCCCCCGGCUCAACCGGGGAGGGUCGUCGGGGACUGGCGAGCUUGAGGUCGGCAGGGGCUGGUGGAAUUCCCGGUGUAGUGGUGAAAUGCGUAGAGAUCGGGAGGAACACCCGUGGCGAAGGCGGCCAGCUGGGCCGUACCUGACGCUGAGGCGCGAAAGCCAGGGGAGCAAACGGG
This 253-nucleotide ribosomal RNA is filed under the name uncultured bacterium. RNAcentral describes it as "partial 16S ribosomal RNA". It matches the Rfam family "Bacterial small subunit ribosomal RNA", at positions 524 to 776 of the family's 1533-position model. The record is from RNAcentral.